This 801-nucleotide ribosomal RNA is filed under the name uncultured beta proteobacterium. RNAcentral's name for it is "bacterial SSU rRNA". It matches the Rfam family "Bacterial small subunit ribosomal RNA", at positions 75 to 875 of the family's 1533-position model. Lineage: Bacteria; Pseudomonadati; Pseudomonadota; Betaproteobacteria. The record is from RNAcentral.
GGGGGCAACCCCUUGAGAGUGGCGAACGGGUGAGUAAUAUAUCGGAACGUGCCCAGUCGUGGGGGAUAACGUAGUGAAAAUUACGCUAAUACCGCAUACGAUCUAAGGAUGAAAGCGGGGGAUCGCAAGACCUCGCGCGACUGGAGCGGCCGAUAUCAGAUUAGGUAGUUGGUAGGGUAAAGGCCUACCAAGCCAACGAUCUGUAGCUGGUCUGAGAGGACGACCAGCCACACUGGAACUGAGACACGGUCCAGACUCCUACGGGAGGCAGCAGUGGGGAAUUUUGGACAAUGGGCGAAAGCCUGAUCCAGCCAUUCCGCGUGCAGGAUGAAGGCCCUCGGGUUGUAAACUGCUUUUGUACAGAACGAAAAGGUUUCUAUUAAUACUAGGAGCUCAUGACGGUACUGUAAGAAUAAGCACCGGCUAACUACGUGCCAGCAGCCGCGGUAAUACGUAGGGUGCAAGCGUUAAUCGGAAUUACUGGGCGUAAAGCGUGCGCAGGCGGUUAUAUAAGUCAGAUGUGAAAUCCCCGGGCUCAACCUGGGAACUGCAUUUGAGACUGUAUAGCUAGAGUACGGUAGAGGGGGAUGGAAUUCCGCGUGUAGCAGUGAAAUGCGUAGAUAUGCGGAGGAACACCGAUGGCGAAGGCAAUCCCCUGGACCUGUACUGACGCUCAUGCACGAAAGCGUGGGGAGCAAACAGGAUUAGAUACCCUGGUAGUCCACGCCCUAAACGAUGUCAACUGGUUGUUGGGUCUUAACUGACUCAGUAACGAAGCUAACGCGUGAAGUUGACCGCCUG